AUCAACAUGACCUUCAUCAUCAUCUUCAUCUGGACUCUCACAGCGUUUGCUCAAGAGUGUAGAGGACAGAUCAGCGUCACUCAGAGUCCCUCAACAGCAGCUCAACCAGGAGAAACAGUGAAGAUCAGCUGUAGAACCAGCAAAGAUGUGAACAGGGAUAAAGAUGGAGAUGAUUAUAUAUUCUGGUACUUACAGAAACCUGGAGAAGCUCCUAAACUCCUGAUUCGUUAUGCAAAAAAGCUUGAGUCAGGAACUCCAUCUAGAUUCAGUGGCAGUGGAUCUAACAGUGAUUUCACUCUGACCAUCAGUGGAGUCCAGACUGAAGAUGCUGGACAUUAUUACUGUCAGAAUUUACACUGUAGAACAAAUUCUGAUGGUUAUUGUGAGGGUGACUAUGUGUUCACACAGUGAUAAAGAGUGGUACAAAAACCUC
This is a non-coding RNA of Cyprinus carpio (common carp), 433 nucleotides long. Lineage: Eukaryota; Metazoa; Chordata; Actinopteri; Cypriniformes; Cyprinidae. The record is from the annotation of a RefSeq genome assembly.